RNAcentral lists this long non-coding RNA (2532 nucleotides) under Triticum aestivum (bread wheat). RNAcentral describes it as "long non-coding RNA (TAES_LNC013370)". Lineage: Eukaryota; Viridiplantae; Streptophyta; Magnoliopsida; Poales; Poaceae. The record is from RNAcentral.
AGAGAACCACGGGCCGAAUUGGCCCGGGUAGAUCGACCGCGUCGUUUGGACCGCGUCACACGAGGGGUAACCCUGAGGAAAGCCACGACCCUAGACAUCGGGGAGGAAAACCACGGCUCGAGAUAACGACGGUGCCGUCGACCAAGAUCCAGUGCCCUGCCUGGCUGCCUCCUCCGCGUCCGAGCUCCUCCACCGGCGACAUAAGCGACGCCCUCAACCCCCUCCGUCUGUUGCUCAGGAUCCAAGCUCCGCCCCUCCAGCAACGGUGAUGGACCGCGGCCGUCACCGUCCUCCUUCCCGGAUCUCUACUCCGCCUCUAAGCUCUGGCCUCCUCUGGUGACCGCGACGACGACGGUUCUCUGUUCGUUUUCUACCUCCUCCGGUCAAGGUUAGCCACCACCUCCUCCCCCUCUUCAACCUCUAUAUAUUUCUCCAAUUCAUGCCUUCACCGUCCUUGAUGAACUUGAACGUCCAGAUCCAGGAAAGUGAGCACAGCCUCCUCUCAGAUCAUUUUCACCAUCGUCAAUCUCAGGUGAGCACUAGAUCUGUGCACAAUGUUUGGUUGCUGAUGUUUUAGUGGUUGUCCAGAAGAACUACACAAUGCUAGAUCCAAGAAUGUUUUAUUUUCUUGUUCAAACUUCUUGCCUAGAGUCCACGUAUCAUACCUGUGGCUCAGUUUUCAUUUUCAUAGCUAUGUCUCGUGCUCAUCAGACUUUAUGCAUGUCGCUGCUCCUUUGUGAAUGGGCAUAUUAAACACAUUGACAUGUUCUUAUAGCAAGUAUGAAUAAUGCUUGGUAGAUCAGUAGAUGGUCCAUGUUGUGUGUUAUAAAUUUUAAUUCCUUUGAUCAGUAACCAGAAUAUUGGACUCUCCAGAGAUUAUAUUCUGUCUAUGAUAAGAGCAAGAAUUUGUAUACCCAUGCAUACUAGGACAAAGUGGCUGUGCUUUUCCUUCCACCGGGAUCUCGACGGCGAGAGGAAUCUAUGUCAUGUCCAACCAUGGCGACGACCCGGUGUUCGUCUUGCUCCUCCCCUCUUCCACCUCAUAUAGCUUCUUGUCAUCAUGUCCUUGCAAUGAUAGUUGUUGCUCCAGAUCCAAGACGUGAUUGCACUCAGGAAUUAUUAUGGUCCGGAGUACAAAUCUUGGAGUGCGGUGAGCACAUAUUCCAUAUGUUCCCAAGAACAACUAUUUUUUGUACUAUUUGAUUUAUCCACCCUAUGCAUAGAGAGUCUCUCUUUAAGCCUGACUUCAUGUAGUCUCUCUUGUCCUAAUCAACAUUAGUUGAAAGAGAUGGAGCAAAGCGAGAUUUCUUGGGUGAAAAAACAUAUAUUGGUUUAUGCAUAGUUUUCUAAUUUUGCAGCUCUUGUGCCGGAGGUUUAUUUUUUAAAAUCAAGUAAUAGCACUGAAUAACAGAUUUUAGGCCACUAAUUAUGUAACCUCCUAGAUAUUGAUCAGAAUUUCUGAGUCCCCACCUAAUUCUACCUGCAAAACUCUGCCUAACCAACAAUAAAUUAGUUAAUCUUUGAGUUCAUCAUCCUUUUUUCUGUAACAAUCCCCUUGCAUUUCUAAUGUAGCCACGAUUAAUUGCCUAGGUUUAUCAGAGUUGAGUUCUUAUCAUUUUGCAGUGGUCAUAGUGAAGUCAUGUACUCUUCAGAGGUACUCAUGCCUUUGCUGCUUUUUUGUCGAUGCUUCCUCUGCUUUGGAAGUGCAAAACUAUGAUCUUGGUGUGAAUUAUUCUAGCCAUUUUAGUAUCUUGACCAUGCCAACGGUAUAUGCUAUGUUUUACAAUCACCAGUUGGUCCAUGUGUUUUCUUGGUUAGUUAUCUGAAAUAAUUUUUGAUUGCCAACUAUCAUGUUCAAUGCACCCUAGUGACCAAUAUUUAAUUUGACUGCAGAAGAAACAUUUUACUGUAUGGUACAUGCUCUUAUCCAUUUCAUUAUUUCAGUAGUAUGGUGUAUUGCAUUUCAGACUUUUCUGUGUAGUGCAUUUUUAUACUUUAUGGGUGAACUGAUUAAGUCACUCUUGUCUAUGUUUUAGACUAAUUACAUUGCAAUUUAACUGUAGGUACGUGCUUCAAUGUCAACUUAUCGAAGGCAGCAAGUGCCCCUAAAACAUCGAGCUGUGGUACCUGAUGUCGACGUGGAGUGGGGAACGAGCUGAGCAAAACUAUUGACCAUCACCUUGCAGCUCAUCUUCUUCAGUAGUGUGUCCGCCUCAAACAUGACAACUUGGGAAUUUAGAGUUUUUUGUAUUGUACAACUCAUUAGCUCCUAUGCUUCUGCUAUAGCUAACCUUUUGCCUUAGUUGUAAUGGUGCAGUCCUAAAAAUUGAGUACCAAUCUUAACAAUGAUGGGUCAUAUUAGGUGUAAUGUAUUGCACACGAAAACGAUUUAGGCUAUCACUUGAUCGCGGUGAAAUGUAGACCAAUAUCUUAACCUUGAUAAAGUGAUGAAAUAUCAGUUGUAUUAUUUUUGGAAAUUUAUUUAUUGAAUUCUGAUUUUUGUAUAUGCCUGUGGUUUUUGUAGUUUUUUUU